Molecule: ribosomal RNA, 253 nt
Filed under: uncultured bacterium
Lineage: Bacteria
Description: partial 16S ribosomal RNA
Rfam family: Bacterial small subunit ribosomal RNA
Source: RNAcentral
GACGUAGGGCGCGAGCGUUGUCCGGAUUUAUUGGGCGUAAAGAGCUCGUAGGCGGCUUGUCGCGUCGUCCGUGAAAACCUGUGGCUCAACUGCAGGCUUGCGGUCGAUACGGGCAGGCUGGAGUUCGGUAGGGGAGACUGGAAUUCCUGGUGUAGCGGUGAAAUGCGCAGAUAUCAGGAGGAACACCAGUGGCGAAGGCGAGUCUCUGGACAUUUCCUGACGCUGAGGCACGAAAGCCAGGGGAGCAAACGGG